AAGUCGUAACAAGGUUUCCGUAGGUGAACCUGCGGAAGGAUCAUUAAUGAAGUUUGGGCUUCGGCCCUCUCUCUUCUACACACUUGUGAACUUACACCGUUGCUUUGGCAGGUUUCCGGAUGGGCAUCAAACCCUGAAGGUCAGGCCGAGAGGCGCCUGCCAGAGACACUUAUCCACCCUUUUUUAUUGUCUGAUUUUUGUUUUAAACAAAUUAUGAAAAAACUUUCAACAAUGGAUCUCUUGGCUCUG
This 249-nucleotide unclassified non-coding RNA is filed under the name fungal sp. RNAcentral's name for it is "partial internal transcribed spacer region". The stretch from base 1 to 46 matches the Rfam family "Eukaryotic small subunit ribosomal RNA", at positions 1786 to 1831 of the family's 1831-position model. Lineage: Eukaryota; Fungi. The record is from RNAcentral.